CCCUUAGAUGUCCGGGGCUGCACGCGCGCUACACUGAAGGAAUCAGCGUGCUAAAACCAUUGUCGAAAGGCAUUGGUAAACCCAUUAAAAUCCUACGUGAUUGGGAUCGGGAAUUGCAAUUAUUUCCCUUGAACGGGGAAUUCCCAGUAAGUGUGGGUCAUAAGCUCGCGUUGAUUACGUCCCUGCCCUUUGUACACACCGCCCGUCGCUGCCCGGGACUGAGCCGUUUCGAGAAAAGCGGGGACUGCUGCUGUCGGGGCUUUCGGGCCUUGGCUUCGGUGGAAACCGCUUUAAUCGCAGUGGCUUGAACCGGGCAAAANUCGUAACA
Molecule: ribosomal RNA, 328 nt
Filed under: uncultured eukaryote
Lineage: Eukaryota
Description: partial 18S ribosomal RNA
Rfam family: Eukaryotic small subunit ribosomal RNA
Source: RNAcentral